Molecule: long non-coding RNA, 263 nt
Filed under: Lathyrus oleraceus (garden pea)
Lineage: Eukaryota; Viridiplantae; Streptophyta; Magnoliopsida; Fabales; Fabaceae
Description: Pisum sativum (pea) long non-coding RNA (PSAT_LNC009146)
Source: RNAcentral
AUUCAACUCUCUAUAAUUUCACCCACCUCCCUAAUUUCUUUAAAAGUAUAUUUUACUACCCCAAAGCUAAUACUCUUAUAUUUUCUUUAUUAAUUAAAUAAUUAAAAAUCUAAUUAAAACUAAUUUACUAUUAAACCACCAAUUCUCAUUUAUACACUAAUUCUAACAAAGAUUCACCAAUUUAAAUUAUUAAACUAAAAACACUCUCAAAACUCUAUAUAAAAAUAAAUAUAAAAAACUGGGGUGUUACAUCCUAUGCUAUA